This 58-nucleotide transfer RNA is filed under the name Paenibacillus macerans. Its description in RNAcentral is "tRNA-Ser(cga)". RNAcentral also lists the same sequence under 2 other names. The record is from RNAcentral. Lineage: Bacteria; Bacillati; Bacillota; Bacilli; Caryophanales; Paenibacillaceae.
AGGACGGCGAGUCUGCCUCCAAAGCAGACUGUGGUGGGUUCGAUUCCCACGCCCCCUG